AUGAACCCAACGUUGGCACCGGGACCGGAUGGAUUUCCCGUUAGAUUAUUUCAGGUGUUAUGGUCUACCAUCAAGGAGGACAUACUCGCCUUGUUCCUCGAAUUCUAUAGAGGAAUGCUAGAUGUUUCCUGUCUGAACUAUGGAAUUAUUUCUUUGAUUCCGAAAGUUCUGGGGGCAGCGGAUAUUCGGCAGUUCCGCUCGAUCACAGUUAUCAAUGUGAUAUUUUGGGUUCUGGCCAAAGGGUACACCACUAGGGUGGCCCUUCUGGCCCCUCAGAAAUUUCAUCUGAAUCAGUCGGCAUUCAUUAAGGGCCGAUAUAUCUUGGAUGGGGUCUUUGUCCUCCAUGAGGUUAUUCAUGAAGUGAAAUGGAAACGCUUGCGAGCAGUUUUCUUUAAGAUCGACUUCCAUAAGGCAUAUGAUACCGUCCAUUGGUCCUUCCUUCGGGAAUUGAUGUUGAAGCGGGUCUUCGACCACCAUUGGAUAACACGGCUUAUGCAGCUGAUGUCGAGCGGACGCACGAUGAUCAACAUCAAUGGAGAGGUUGCCCCCCUAUUUCUAGAUGUCUCAAGGGGUGCAACAGGGAGACCCUCUCUCCCCCUUUUUAUUCAACCUAGUGGUUGA
RNAcentral lists this ribosomal RNA (621 nucleotides) under Triticum aestivum (bread wheat). RNAcentral describes it as "partial small subunit ribosomal RNA". Lineage: Eukaryota; Viridiplantae; Streptophyta; Magnoliopsida; Poales; Poaceae. The record is from RNAcentral.